Populus euphratica (Euphrates poplar) is the source of this 2777-nucleotide RNA transcript. RefSeq lists it as uncharacterized. Lineage: Eukaryota; Viridiplantae; Streptophyta; Magnoliopsida; Malpighiales; Salicaceae. The record is from RefSeq and is a predicted model, not a curated record. The transcript is spliced from 3 exons.
ACAAGAUAAAUAAACGAAGUUCACAAACGCAUCAUGAGUGUCAUUGUGUGUUUACUUUGGGGAGGGUAUAUUUUAUUUGGGUUCUCUGUUACAAGUUGACCUCUGUCUCUCUCAAGUUUCUGUUCUUCUCUUCGUUUUUUGUCUUUCUUUUUUUAUUGCCUUCGUUGAUAGUGUGCCUUUUGAUUGUUUGAUUUAUGUUAUCGGGUCCCUCUUACUUCUACUUUGUUUAUUUGCUCAUUCUAAUCUUCUCUGAUAUCCGUUAGGUUAUGCUUGUGGUUCUUGGUUUCUUCUCUGGUGUCUGUUAGGGGGUUUGUUCACGUUUAUUUUUCUCUCUGCUCAGUUGUUUUGUUCACCAGGUUAGUUUUCUUUUUUUGUCUGGUUAGCAUCUUCAUGUUUCUAUUGUUUUUGCUUAUGUGGGUUGCAUGUUUCUUAACUCUGUAUAUUCUCAUAUGUUUUCUGAGCUGGCUUCAGGUUGCAGCUUUUCUUUGGUGCUUUUCUAUCUUCUUGUUGUUUGUUGUUGCUCGCGCUUUAGGGAGUCUUUACUGAGUAGAGAGUUGAGAGUGAACUUGUAUUGCCUUAGCGCGAGACUGUGAUGCAAAGGCAGAGCUUGGAGCUAUCCAAACUUCGGUGGAGGUGCUGUAAUGAGUAAUCUGUGCCACCCCUCAUCUGAAAGAGAAAAAUCGAUGCAGGUAAGGAUAAGAUUAUCCUGGGUUUCCCAAUUAGCAUAGGAUGGGUUGGGAAUUGUAGAACCAUCAGAGGCAUUGAUGGUUUUAGCAGGCUGUUGAAUGGUGCCAUCUACAUAGUUGAAAACCUUCUGACCUUUGCGGUACGGUAACAUGGUGGCUUUCCAUGUUGGGUAGUUCAAACGUUUGAGUUUAGUGAGGUUGAUGGAGGAGGAUGGGUUGAAGAUGGGAAGGUUGGAUUUAAAAGUAGUUAAAGUUGUGGAAUUUUAGGAGGCAUACAUUUUGAAGAGGAUCAAUUAACGUGCUUAGGCAGCUCUAAUACCAUGCAUAUUAUUCUAUAUACUUUAAGAAUACAAUGAAUAAGGUUUUAUAGAUAGAUAAUCUAUAACCUUUUCCUCUACGUAAGCUAUUUAAAAAUGAAAAGAUGAUAUCACAAUGUUAAACAAAUCAAUUAGCCCGAAAUAUCAGCAAGUAGUUUCAGUUUUGAAUUCUAUCUCCAACAGUCUGAAAGCAGAGGAUGAAUCAGUUUCAGUAACCUGCCAUUGAAAUGCCUAUACACUGGUGCCGGGAUUUUAGCUGCUGCUAGCAUCAUUAUCAGCACUUUCCUCUUGGUUUUUGUUGCGGAGUGGAAUGACAAAUCAUUUUUCUCGACAAUUGGUGAGAUACUACGCUGACAAUUUAUAAUCACCAGAAAGAUUGUAACACUUGCUGGAAACAAUUAUGUAUGAGACUUGGUUCUCUAUCCUGAUUUGCGUGAACCAUCAAGAACUGUACUAUUUAAGCAGAUUUUUUGGAUCUGCAUAUCAAUUUACAAAUGUUUCCUAACUAGACUGUAGAGGUGGACUUGGUCUAAAUGCGCCAGAGCUAGCCUGAAAAUAACACUUAGCCACAAACUGAGGGGGGAAAAAAUAUAGUCGUUGUUUGCUUGGACAUUUGAGUAUUGAUUGCACUAUCCCCACGUUGAUGAAAAUCGUCUCCUGGAUUGUGUGUGUGUGUUUCAGCCGAAGGGACAAUUACUCGGAGUAAUGAUGAGCUAUUUUUCGUCCUCCAAAAAAAAAAAGAAAAAAGAGAGGCCAUAGGCCCGUAUUAGUAAUGUAGAGUAAAAAACACCAUGAAAACGAAGUUCGUUUGGUAUAUGAACUGUUUGAGAAAACAGGAUUGGAUGAUUUUAUUCCUGUUAGUAUUCAAAAUGCGUGGUGCCUUUUCUUCUUGCCUAGGAAGACUGAAUUUGGAUUAUAUUAUAUUUGUAUACCGUCUGAAUUCUCAAGUGCCUGUAUACAUAGUAAAUGUUUCCCUCUCUGCUUGUCCCCUUGGGAUCCUGCAAGAAUUUUCUCAUGCUGCACUUUCAGCAGCCUCUUUACCUGUCAUUGGCGGACCCCUGACUGGUCAUGGUGUUGCAACAGUGAUUGAUGCUUUGGGAGGUUCUUUACUUGGGACGUUCUUAUCAGAAAUGGCAGGGUUGAAAUUUCAACUUUCGUUUAUAAUUAAGCAAAAGAUAUCCCUUCAAAAUAUAUUUUCCUUGUCUCUGCUACAUGGAAUUAUAGAAUGUCCAACUUAGUGCACCUUGAUUUUGUCUCUUCAACAAUGGCAGUCACGCAUAUGGUUGGACCUGUGUUGAUGAUGGGAAAUGAUUUGUAUCUACCGUAGAUCUUGUGGGUCCCACAAGGAGAUCCCACUUGAUCAACGGUGGGAAUGAAUCGAGCCACCUAGCAUGAUACAUUGAUGACUGGCCCAUAAUUGUCCUCUAUUCUGCAUUUGUUACCAUCAAAAUUUGUUCGAAACUUGUUGAUGCUAUCAGCAUCUCUUACUUCUACCAUUUAAUUCCUGGUCAAUCAUAACCAGUAUUUGAAACUUUCUGAGGCCAAUUAAUCCAAUAUGGAAUCCAGUCGGUACAUCUUCUUAAUUGAUAGAAGGCAUGUAUGUAGUGCAAUGAAUGUCAGUGGAGCCAUUUCCAACUACAUGGAUUCAGCCUGAAGAUUUGUAUGAAUUGUCUAGUCCAAGAAUGUAAGGUCUGAAACAUCAUGGUAUUUGUACCUUGAAAAUAUCCCUCGGUUGGACCAUCAUGAUUUAGCAACCAAUAGAUUUUUUCCCAUA